GACUUGGUUCAUGUAAAUGGAAGAAAACAGGUGUAUCUAUUGCCAUUUCCAUCAGAGUGCCUUUGGAAGACUACAUAACCAACAGUUCCCAUUUCACCACAAUUUCUUCUAGUAAGACAGCAUGACUGAC
Molecule: long non-coding RNA, 130 nt
Organism: Leopardus geoffroyi (Geoffroy's cat)
Lineage: Eukaryota; Metazoa; Chordata; Mammalia; Carnivora; Felidae
Exons: 2
Source: RefSeq, a predicted model, not a curated record